CUCAGUGAGUGGAAGUGAGACUACCGGUACCGUAUUAUUUAAUAUUCUCAAAAAACUCCAUAAACAAAUUAUUCCUGAGCGUAAAUCCACAAGUUAAUGGGGUAUUUUUAAACGUGGAACUUCUACACUGUAUAAGGCAAUCAUAUUUAGACCAUGAUCCAGUAUAAAUUAGCUGUAAUUCUCAUAUCUACACUGUGUUUCCAAACAGCGAUUGGUGGAGUCACAAAUAUCAACAAUUGGAAUGAUUUCCAGAAUGUUUUGAAAGCUCAUUCAAAACCGAAUGAUGGUGUCGUGUUAUUGCUUUGCAAAACAGAUUGCAACUAUUGUCCUGCAGCUGAGAAAUGAUUGAAGACAAACUGUGAUAAAAAUCCAGCUUUACAGUGUGUCCAAGUUAUCAAAACAGAUGUUUUCUCGCCUACAGACCCUUUCAUAACAACUUACAAUGUACAAGACGUACCGUACAUGGUAUUCUUCAGUGGUGGAAAAAAGGUUGAUGCCGUUCAGGACUAUUUUGAAGAUAAAAUGUCUGCUGGAUUUGCCAAGUUGCCUAGGAAAAGGAAAUGAUUUCUUUAAUAUUUAUAUAUAAUAAUAAGAUUUUA
Long non-coding RNA from Nilaparvata lugens (brown planthopper), 599 nucleotides. RefSeq lists it as uncharacterized. The transcript has 5 exons. NCBI's taxonomy places the organism in Eukaryota, Metazoa, Arthropoda, Insecta, Hemiptera, Delphacidae. The record is from RefSeq and is a predicted model, not a curated record.